ACCACAAGGUAGACUACCACAGCAAGUAUGGCUUUUCUCUCCCUCUCCCUCUCUGUCCCACACACGAUUGGGAAAAAAGUUUGUCUCGCCUGUGUGCUUGUUUGUGUGCACGCUUGGCUGCUUGUUCUUGAUUCCGGGAGAUUUUAUCUGACUUGCAGGCAUCAGGGAGCCGCUAUGUAUAUCAUAUAAUAUGCGUGAGACUCCCGGGACCUCCAGGAGACUUGGGAUGUCUCGGUGCGUUAUUGAACAUAUAUGUAGAUUUAAGUUUAUUUAAUGUGUUGUGUUUGAGGGAAUAUAGCAUAAUUGGCAACGAAAGUUUAAUAUAACUUCAGACCCAGCAAAGGGCACAUGUUGACCCUAGGUUGACGUCUCGGAGUCGCUCAACAUGGAGGCUACCAUCCGUCACAUCGAAGCCUUCGAUGAAAACAUGGAACAAUGGACAACCUACAUUGAAAGAUUUGAGCACUUUGUAGAGGUGAAUGGUAUUGAGAGUGGAAGGAAGGUGCCUGUACUACUUUAUGGGCGUUAUGGGCUGCAAGGUGUAUGGUUUACUGCGUAGUCUCGUGGCUCCAGAGAAGCUGGGAGACAAAAGUUAUGCCAAUAUAAAAGCAGUAUUGCAGCAACAUGUUUCUCCUAAACCCCUCAAAAUCGCCAAGAGGUUUCGCUUUCACAAGCGGGAUCAAGAGGUGGGAGAGACCAUUCCUCAGUAUGUAGCAGUGCUUAAAAAAUGAUCGGAGCACUGCAAGUUUGGCAAGCAGUAGGAGAACGCACUCCAUGACAGAUUUGUGUGUAGUUAAAGAGUGAAGCCACACAAAAGCGCCUGUGUAUGGAGGCUACACUGUUGUUCAAGAAAGCGGUGGAAAUACCUGCCUCAUUGUAGAUGGCAGCGCGUGAGUCACAACAGCUUAGCGGAUCCUUGAAGUGAACUCUGCCUGUGAGGACAAGAAGCUGAAGAUCUUUGAGAGACGGUUGAUUGGUGGUAGCAAUGAAGACUGCUUUCUGUGAUCCAUGGUGGACAUGGCAGAGAGCAAAGAGAGUCUCACAAGGGGACUGGUGAGCAAUUGGCAACAACAUGUGCACUACUGUGAUGAAGAGACUCUUCCCAUACAUUGCAUGGGGACAUCUGUCAUAACCAACACACCUUUUAAAUGUCAUGCAAAUGGCCAUGGAAUUGAUUAUAUUUUAUCUCGAAGGAAGGCAGAGAACAGAGUGAUUGCAGAUUCCCCCACUCAUUUUAUCAUCGUAAUAAUCAACGUAGACACACGUAUUCAUGUUUGAAUUAUAUGUAAGUUAAAGCUGCCACAGAAAGGAAAGCUGCACUUACAAUGGCAAGGUUUUUGGUAUUGCAUCUAUAAGGAGUGUUUAGUAAAUGGAACUGCAUAACAGGAAACAGUGAUGAAGCAACCGCAAUGUCCAACCUGAUACGGAUUUGCCUCAUGGCGUUGGAGCUCCUUUUUCCAUCAUUGUAUAACUCAGUGAAGUAAAAGGUGACCAUUUGGGAACCAUCAAGCCUUGGGCCUGACUGAAAGCAACUUUUGGUAACGUCAUUAAUAUGUGCAUCGUUUUUUGAUGGAAUCUCGCCAAUGACAUGUUCAGUUUUAUUUCUGAGCCCAUACAAGUCUGCAUUGUCAAAGUUUUGAUUUGUAAUGAUGAAUUAGCAGUUCUGUGUGUAGAAUGUCAAAUGUCAUAAUUUGCACUCACUCCCACCUCUCUCUCUCUCUCUCUCUCUCUCUCUCUCUCUCUCUCUCUCUCUCUCUUUCUCUACUUUUAAGUUUUUACUUAGUUAAGCCUUUGCAUAUGAGAUUGUGUGCUUGUGUGAACAUGAUAACUUAUUAAGAUCUAUACUUUUAAUUAUACUUCUGUUCCAUUUUUCCUGAAAUCCUGAAGAGCAUCUUUAUUACAUUUUAAUCCAUUUUAAUUUUAAAA
Long non-coding RNA from Pygocentrus nattereri (red-bellied piranha), 1926 nucleotides. RefSeq lists it as uncharacterized. Lineage: Eukaryota; Metazoa; Chordata; Actinopteri; Characiformes; Serrasalmidae. The record is from RefSeq and is a predicted model, not a curated record. The transcript is spliced from 2 exons.